RNAcentral lists this unclassified non-coding RNA (358 nucleotides) under soil metagenome. Its description in RNAcentral is "partial contains 5.8S ribosomal RNA, internal transcribed spacer 2, and large subunit ribosomal RNA". The stretch from base 1 to 120 matches the Rfam family "5.8S ribosomal RNA", at positions 35 to 154 of the family's 154-position model. The record is from RNAcentral.
GAUGAAGAACGUAGCGAAAUGCGAUAAGUAGUGUGAAUUGCAGAAUUCAGUGAAUCAUCGAAUCUUUGAACGCACAUUGCGCCCGCCAGUAUUCUGGCGGGCAUGCCUGUCCGAGCGUCAUUUCAACCCUCGAACCCCUCCGGGGGGUCGGCGUUGGGGACCUCGGGAGCCCCUAAGACGGGAUCCCGGCCCCGAAAUACAGUGGCGGUCUCGCCGCAGCCUCUCCUGCGCAGUAGUUUGCACAACUCGCACCGGGAGCGCGGCGCGUCCACGUCCGUAAAACACCCAACUUCUGAAAUGUUGACCUCGGAUCAGGUAGGAAUACCCGCUGAACUUAAGCAUAUCAAUAAGCGGAGGA